CUGGGAAGGAGCUGACAAGGGCUGUUGAGGCGGCUCCCUGCUCCCCACCCAGGGAGGCGCCCAUGCUCUGCAGCUCAAACCACAAGCUGCAAUGACUAGGCACCUUUUCUUUGUGCACAAGGAAAGCAGGCCUGGCGGCACUUGGCCAGGCUCCACACCGGUGCUCACCUUUCAUUAGUGCCAGGUCUCUUCAGCCCCAGGCCUUCUGGGGUGACGCCGAGGGUCACCCUCCCCAGCUGGGUCCUGGGAUUGGCCGAGGAGAACAGGAUCCCGUCUGCAGUGGCAGAGCCUGAAAAAAGGCCUCUCUCCCAGAAGCAAAAGCACCAGGAUCCUGUAGCAGCGUAAACCCAGGAGCAAUGCCACAGCCCUGGAUAGCGGUCAAGGAAAGAGUCCUGAGGACCCAGACUGGGACCCCGGCUCCACUGCAAGCCCAGGGCUGGCUCGUGGCCCUCCACGCCCAGCCUAGGCGUGCCCCAGGAGCACACACGCAGGCCUGUUCCUGCCAAAGCGAUGCCCAGCGCUGUCACUCAGGAACGCAACUGCUCGCGGCCGUUCACGCCUCAUCGGUGCCCGCUCAGCGGAUGUGCAGGGGCACCUGAGGGUGAACGUCAUGCAGAGAGCAAAGCUGGGACAGGAGGGUGAGCACCCACCGCCUGGGGGUUCACUCCCAGCCCAGAAACAUCCCAGCGCAGCAGCCUGGCUUAUGAAACACGGGAGCAGCUUUACGUAAUCAUGGGAAAUCAGGAGAAAAAGCGCCUUCCUAAAAAUGCAUCCCCCCACCUCGACGGUACUUUUUUCAAGAUGGAAUUUUGUUUUGCUUUUUUUGGUUUGUAAGAGUUGACCAUGUUCACUGGCACUAAAUUCCAACAAAAAUCUGUAAAGUAGAAAUCGAGAGUCCUCCUCAGUCCCACGCUCCAAAAUCCCCCGAGGGGGUCUGUCCUUACAGCCUCUUUGCUUCGCCCACGCCAACUUACAAACGCACACAUCCGGGGCAUGCAUGUACCCACACACGCGUGCACACACACAUGCUUUUCCCUUAUCUUUGACAGAAGUAGGAUCACGCUGUACCUGCUGCUCUCUACUCCAGAUCACACCCCCCCACCCCGCUGAACUUUCGAUGUUUUGCCAGCUGUAGCACACUCAGCCCGGGGCGGGGCGGGGGGGGGAGGUUGGCAGGCAUCCAGCAAGGCAUGGACCCCAGGUCUGUCCAGCUCCAGAACCCAAGUUCUAAUGGUCUUCCCCAUGUUUUCCUCUGGAGAGUUCUUAGAACCCGCAAACAGCAUUGCCUGGGAGUCUUAGAACUGCAGGCCCCACCCCAGAGCCUCUGCUUCAGAAGGUGAGAGGUACCCAGGGGAUCUGCAUGCAGAAUAACUACUUGAGGCGACUCUGUCCUGUCCAGCCGUUGGGGCCACUAAGGAGCUACAUUUCCCCACAGAUGCUGCCAAUUUCCGUCCCCAAGUCAAUAUACUUUGAGUAAAUGAGCGAGCCCAUUGCUCAGGAGGUUCAGUCUUCACUGAUCUGGGAAAACAUCCACUCGGGUCCCCGCCGACCCCUGCCCUCUGCCGCCAGGCCUGUUUGCAGCCAGGUUUCCCUUAGGAU
This is a long non-coding RNA of Ursus maritimus (polar bear), 1599 nucleotides long. NCBI's taxonomy places the organism in Eukaryota, Metazoa, Chordata, Mammalia, Carnivora, Ursidae. The record is from Ensembl.